GGUACACCCGUUUGAGUGUCGUGAACAUCCUUCAACCUUUCUUGGUUUCUCAACCAAGGAAGGCUUUGGACUUUGGGGGGCUUUUUUGCUGGCAUCCUUUUGGAAGCUAGCUCCUCCUAAAUGGAUUAGUAGGGUCUGCUUUGCCGAACCUUGACGUGAUAAGAUGCUUCUACGUCUUGGGUUUCGCACUGUUGCUUUAGACCCUGCUUCUAACUGUCUUACAUACAGGACAGAGUUAUAAACCUUGACCUCAAAUCGGGUGAGACUACCCGCUGAACUUAAGCAUAUCAAUAAGCGGAGG
RNAcentral lists this ribosomal RNA (301 nucleotides) under uncultured Russula. RNAcentral describes it as "eukaryotic LSU rRNA". The stretch from base 246 to 301 matches the Rfam family "Eukaryotic large subunit ribosomal RNA", at positions 1 to 56 of the family's 3401-position model. The record is from RNAcentral. Lineage: Eukaryota; Fungi; Basidiomycota; Agaricomycetes; Russulales; Russulaceae.